UACGUAGGGUGCAAGCGUUAAUCGGAAUUACUGGGCGUAAAGCGUGCGCAGGCGGUUUUGUAAGUCUGUCGUGAAAUCCCCGGGCUCAACCUGGGAAUUGCGAUGGAGACUGCAAGGCUUGAAUCUGGCAGAGGGGGGUAGAAUUCCACGUGUAGCAGUGAAAUGCGUAGAUAUGUGGAGGAAUACCGAUGGCGAAGGCAGCCCCCUGGGUCAAGAUUGACGCUCAUGCACGAAAGCGUGGGGAGCAAACAGG
This 253-nucleotide ribosomal RNA is filed under the name uncultured bacterium. Its description in RNAcentral is "partial 16S ribosomal RNA". It matches the Rfam family "Bacterial small subunit ribosomal RNA", at positions 524 to 776 of the family's 1533-position model. The record is from RNAcentral.